UGACGGCGGGGCUCCUCUUUAGUGCGC
Molecule: small RNA, 27 nt
Filed under: Bombyx mori (domestic silkworm)
Lineage: Eukaryota; Metazoa; Arthropoda; Insecta; Lepidoptera; Bombycidae
Description: ovarian small RNA-31766
Source: RNAcentral